GGGUUGUGAUAUUGGGUUUUUAAUUUGUUGUUUUCAUCUAACACACUGGUGAUGAAGACCUUUCUAAGAUUGUUUUUUUUUGUGCUUCCUUUUUUAUUAUUCAUUUAACACACAAUCUUAUUUCUCAUUUGUUUUUUUUUCCUUUCUUUUUAUGCAGUUGAGGUUUUAAGAUUUGGGCUUCUAGACAAUACGCCAUAAGACAGGUAUGAGUGUUUCCCUUCUGCUAUUAAAGUGUUUGUUUUCUUAAUAUUUCAAGUUUGAUGGAUGUGGUUGGUUUUGUUUUGAAUUGAUUCAUAGAUAACUGAUCUGCAAGUACAGUAUGGUUUAUAUAGGUUUUAUCGUUUUCAAACUGGCGUACAUGUCUUUGCUCUAUUUACUUCUCUGUAAUGUAUUUAUAAACAGCUUUAGUUUUCGACUGUCAUGAGUUAGAUAGCUUGCUGAAUGAGUCUUCAAAGUUCUCUGCCCAUUUUUUUUAAAUGUGCCUAAAAUUGUGAGCUUUAUGGACUCAUUGAUUGAAACAUUCAUAAGUGUAGUUAACUUUUUUUUUAAAUGUGUCAAAGCUCUCUGCCUAAAUAUUUUUUAAGAACAUGAAUUCUUGAGUUCAUUAGGGUCAAUAUAGAAAGCAUUGUUUUCAAGUCUGAUAAUUGGCCCUUUAUCAUUGAGUUCAUUAAGUUCAUUAAGACAAUUGUGAUUGAUUUGUGGGUGUAUUUUGCAGAAGGGUAAGUAUUUGAGAGGAAGAUUUGAAUAAAGAGAUGAAGAACUUGGUGUCGGAUCGCAGUUUUUUCAUUGACAGUGAAGAAGAAGAUGAUGAGGCAAAGGACAACAUAAUGAUUCUGAUUCUUCGGGUUCGGAAGCCUAUCACUGCCAGCAGCAGUAGCAGCAGCAGAUUCAGCUCAGUUCUUACAACACCCAAAAGCCUCAGAGUUACAGGUUCUCAUCUCUCUGUCCUUUUGCUCUCUUUUGCUCUUUGAAAUUUGUUAGCUAGUUCUGUUGAUUUUAAGUUUUUUUUAUUAUUUUCCCACAUCACUGAAGUUUUUUUUAGAUAAUUUUUGUAGGGAGAAUAGGCCAACUUUCUAAUGUAUUUCUCUUUGUUUUGAUUUGAUGAUCUAAAAGUCACACUAAGAAUAGUAAUCGAAACAAGUAUUGCAUAAGGUAUUAGUGCCAAAAUGACAAAUUUAGUUAACAUUUCAGUUGGCAUCUCUAAACUUUAUGGAGCUCUUUCAAGGAUCAGGAUCCUCUCGUUGGCUAUUAAUGGUGUUUGGGUAUCCUCAGCUUUUCAUCUCAGCCGUUAAUGACGAAUCCAACGAUUAAGAAUCUACUACGUCAGCAAAAUUAGCAUUAAGUUUGCAUUAAUUACGUACUUUCAAUAUUCUACUGUUAAUCACCCUUAAUGCCGUUUAUGUUGCUUUCUCUCGGCAUUUUGCCUCUAUGGAGUCUUUACCUCUUCCUCAAACUAAAAUGGUGGACAUGUUCACCCAUUAACAUGAAUUUUCCAUGAGCUUGAAUAUCAAUCCAGUAAUCUCGUAAAUUAAUAAAGAUUUGUCAAAUUCAAUAUGGGAUAUCUAAAUUCCCAGAAGAUUACCAUUUAGUUUGCUAAAUCUCCAAGACCCAAAUUGGAGAUGUCAAAGAAGAUCGAAUUGGAGAAAGACGAAGUGAUGAUCUGUUUAGAACCUCAACUUUGGACCAUCACAGAGCUCGGAGUAGGAUUUUCUAUCAUCUGGGUCAGUAAUGAAGAUUUCUCUAAUUUAAUCAACAGAGAAAAACUUUCUCUUGUUUUUCUCUAAUUCUUUGGUGUUCAAAGCCAUUCUGGGUUCGAUAUUUAUGUUCAGAUCCAAUACGAGGAAUUUUCAACCCAAG
This 1857-nucleotide long non-coding RNA is filed under the name Fragaria vesca (wild strawberry). RNAcentral's name for it is "long non-coding RNA (FVES_LNC002854)". Lineage: Eukaryota; Viridiplantae; Streptophyta; Magnoliopsida; Rosales; Rosaceae. The record is from RNAcentral.